This 247-nucleotide ribosomal RNA is filed under the name uncultured bacterium. Its description in RNAcentral is "partial 16S ribosomal RNA". It matches the Rfam family "Bacterial small subunit ribosomal RNA", at positions 333 to 572 of the family's 1533-position model. The record is from RNAcentral.
GUUUCCCUACGGGAGGCAGCAGUAGGGAAUUUUCGUCAAUGGGCGCAAGCCUGAACGAGCAAUGCCGCGUGAACGAGGAAGGUCUUCGGAUCGUAAAGUUCUGUUGAAGGGGAAAAAGAGCGGAGAGAGGCAAUGAACUCCGAUUGAUAUUACCCUUCGAGGAAGUCACGGCUAACUACGUGCCAGCAGCAGCGGUAAUACGUAGGUGGCGAGCGUUAUCCGGAAUGAUUGGGCGUAGAGGGUGCGU